GCCCAGGUGGUGAAAUUGGUAGACACGCUACUUUGAGGGGGUAGUGGGAGUAAUCCUGUGCUGGUUCGAGUCCAGUCCUGGGCA
RNAcentral lists this transfer RNA (84 nucleotides) under Bacteroidota bacterium. Its description in RNAcentral is "Bacteroidetes bacterium (mine drainage metagenome) tRNA-Leu". It matches the Rfam family "tRNA". Rfam says of the family: Transfer RNA (tRNA) molecules are approximately 80 nucleotides in length. Their secondary structure includes four short double-helical elements and three loops (D, anti-codon, and T loops). Lineage: Bacteria; Pseudomonadati; Bacteroidota. RNAcentral also lists the same sequence under 2 other names. The record is from RNAcentral.